RNAcentral lists this ribosomal RNA (497 nucleotides) under uncultured bacterium. RNAcentral's name for it is "partial 16S ribosomal RNA". It matches the Rfam family "Bacterial small subunit ribosomal RNA", at positions 28 to 507 of the family's 1533-position model. The record is from RNAcentral.
GACGAACGCUGGCGGCGUGCCUAAUACAUGCCAGUUGAGCGCUGAAGGUUGGUACUUGUACCCACUGGAUGAGCAGCGAACGGGUGAGUAACGCGUGGGGAAUCUGCCUUUGAGCGGGGGACAACAUUUGGAAACGAAUGCUAAUACCGCAUAAAAACUUUAAACACAAGUUUUAAGUUUGAAAGAUGCAAUUGCAUCACUCAAAGAUGAUCCCGCGUUGUAUUAGCUAGUUGGUGAGGUAAAGGCUCACCAAGGCGAUGAUACAUAGCCGACCUGAGAGGGUGAUCGGCCACGUUGGGACUGAGACACGGCCCAAACUCCUACGGGAGGCAGCAGUAGGGAAUCUUCGGCAAUGGACGAAAGUCUGACCGAGCAACGCCGCGUGAGUGAAGAAGGGUUUCGGAUCGUAAAACUCUGUUGGUAGAGAAGAACGUUGGUGAGAGUGGAAAGCUCAUCAAGUGACGGUAACUACACAGAAAGGGACGGCUAACUACGUG